Molecule: ribosomal RNA, 451 nt
Filed under: Clostridioides difficile
Lineage: Bacteria; Bacillati; Bacillota; Clostridia; Peptostreptococcales; Peptostreptococcaceae
Description: bacterial SSU rRNA
Rfam family: Bacterial small subunit ribosomal RNA
Source: RNAcentral
CUAGUUGGUAAGGUAACGGCUUACCAAGGCGACGAUCAGUAGCCGACCUGGGAGGGUGAACGGCCACGUUGGACCUGAGACACGGUCACAGCGCAUACGGGGGGCAGCAGUGGGGAAUAGUGCACAAGGGCCGCAAGCCUGAUGGAGCAAAGCCGCGUGAGUGAUGAAGGCGUUCGGGUCGUAAAACGCUGUGCUAAAGGAAGAGAAGGACGGGACUUGGGGAGGAAGCCCCGGCGAACUACGUGCGAGCAGCCGCGGUAAUACGUAGGGGGCUAGGGUUAUCCGGAUUUACUGGGCGUAAAGGGUGCGUUGGCGGUCUUACGGGUCAGGAGUGAAAGGCUACGGCUCAACCGUAGUAAGCUCUUGAAACUGGGAGACUUGAGUGCAGGAGAGGAGAGUGGAAUUCCUAGUGUAGCGGUGAAAUGCGUAGAUAUUAGGAGGAACACCAGUU